Long non-coding RNA from Macaca mulatta (Rhesus monkey), 12842 nucleotides. RefSeq lists it as uncharacterized. The record is from RefSeq and is a predicted model, not a curated record. Lineage: Eukaryota; Metazoa; Chordata; Mammalia; Primates; Cercopithecidae.
CAGGAGACGGGGGUGUCCAGGCAGGAGACGGGGUGUCAGGCAGGAGACGGGGGUGUCAGGCAGGAGAUGGGGUGUCAGGCAGGAGACGGGGGUGUCCAGGCAGGAGACAAGGGUGUCCAGGCAGGAGACGGGGGUGUCCAGGCAGGAGACGGGGGUGUCCAGGCAGAAGUCCAGGGCUCCCCGACCAGGCCGAACUGUGGCAGAAUCAGGAUUUUCCAUAGAGACAGGAUGACGGGUUGGGUGUGCGGACGGGGAGAGUGUGUGGUCAGGCCCCCUCAGACCGCCGUCCUCCCAUGGGUGUGCUGUGGGAGCGGUUGUAGCCCUUGAGUCACAGUGAGCCUGGAAGGCACAUGUGGAGGAAAACUCUGGAAGAAAGAGCUUCCAGGUGGGAGUUGGGGCAUAUGGGACCUCCCUUCUCCCUUCACGGGGCGUUGGACACCCCCUGAGGACUGAGCUCGUGGCUGCAGAGGCUGUGGGCCCUCUGGACACUCCCUGAGGACUGAGCUCGUGGCUGCAGGGGCCGUGGGCCCUCUGCUUUGUGGGGCUGGGCCGAGUAGGGUGAGGGAAGCCCUGGCGUCUGCAGACCCUCCUGUGCUGAUGACCUGUACCACCUGCUCUGUCUCCAUGGUGACUCGAAGAGGAGGCGGCUGGGGCUGCAUCACCUCCAUUUUUGCAUGCAUGAGAAAUUGAGUGUAAGUCUCCUCUGCUCCCUUCCUGUGACAUCCGAGCAUGGUCGUCUGACAAAUGGGGUAUCGGGAGUCUUGGUGCUGCCUGUUCCUGAAAUGUCUUCCUGAGAAAACACAGAGUGAAGGAAUGUCCGGAGGGCACAGGGGCCGUCACCUGCCAGAGCCCAAGGAGGGAAUGCACCGGGGUGCUGUCCUGGGGCCGGCAUUCAACUGAAAGGAUUGGCUUCAAGUCUUGGCUGACCACUGGAGACUCUGGCCAGGGACCUUGGGAUGGUUCAGGGGAACCUGCUGUAGGUUUACAGAGAGAGAAACUGAGGCCCAGGGUGGAAACCAGGGUGAACAGGGCUCCUCCCAUCUCCUCCCCUGCUAGAGGGUGGGCAAGAAACCAGUGGCUCCCCUGGCUCCCUCCCCUCCCAUCCCUUCUGCUUGGUGACCCUCCUCCAAUGGGCUCCCGUCUUUCCUGUCCAACCGUCCAUGUCACAUGGGACCUGCUGUCUUUGGGCCAGGGGUCAUGGCCACCUGGUCCACACCUGACCACCAGGCCCACCCCUUCAGGGGCACAGUGGCAGAGGGAGUUCCCAAGAAAUGAGGUUUGGGGCAGGAGAGGUGACCCCAGUGCGUGUGGCUAUGGGGAUCGACAAAGCAGGGGAGCAAUGUCCCUUGGGUUCCAGAUGAAAGUGGCUGAGAUGUCACAGUGACAUGAAAGACUGAGCUUCCAUUGUACAAGGACUGCCCCGUGCAAAGCGGUGCCCCUGCCUGCCCUGCCCCCAGCCUUGUUAGGGGACUGGCCACACUCACAGACAUGCCAUCCGGGAAGAGCUGGCCAUGGGUGUGUAGGCAGCCUCAGGGAAUCAGUCAGAGGGUGGCUUGAGUAGCCGGGAGCCGCCACACUGCCUGCCGACGUGGCUGGGCCUGUUUCAGAUCCAGGAAGUGGGGGUCUGCGUGGGGGACCUUCUGCUUUUGUGAGGAGCUGAGCGGCCCCUGGCCAACACUUUCAGCCUUUCAUGGAGCUCAGACGUGUAGCCGCAGGAGCUGAGCCCCAGCCCCAGGCUUGUCCUGCCCUGGCUCUGCCUCCUGGGAGCCUGUCCUGGGCAGGGGGUGGGGCUGUGAUGAAGACUGGGCAGGUGAAAGGCCUGGGGCACCGGCCUGCCUGUCCCCUCCUGGAGCGGACAGUGAGAGGGGCUUCUUUCUUGCGGACAAUGGGAAUCUUGCAGCCUCUGCAGGCAGCUCCUGACACCCGCCCCGGUGCCCUGUGGCUUGGGAUCUGGUGAGCUUUGAGGUCCCUGAGGCCGCAGUGGGUCUUCCCUGCAGGUACAGUUGACAUGUGGGUUACUGACUUGGUUUGGCAUUGGCGUCAGGUCGGGGUAGCUGGCCUUCACCCCUCAGCUUACCAGCUUUGUGCAGGGGACUCUAGCCGGGACCCUCCCUUUCUCACCAGCAGGCGAAAUGCCUUUAGACCCCCAGCGUGCCCCAAUGCUGAGCUGUCAGUCUCGCGCCAGAGACCACAUGCCUCUUGGGAAUAGGAAGCAGUUUGUACAGAGAGGUUGUCUGGGACUGCCCCCAGGACUCUGCACUCUCUAAUCCUGGGAGGCGAGGCUGGGAGGUUGAUCCUGGAGGAAGACACAGCAGGUGCCUCCCCGCCCCUCAACUCCCCUGGAAGGACUGAUGGGCGUGGCAGGGCAGGAGAGGGUGGACGUCCCACAGUCAGGGACACCACGGACAGGACUUCAUGCCCAGCACAUGCCGGCACAGCUGGCGACACUUCUGGAUCUGAUUCUGUAGCUGAGCUCCCAUUUCCUGUCUGCACAGCUGGUCACUGUGCAGCCAGAGGAAGGUGGGUGGCUCCCUUCUGAGCCCUGUCCUGGGCACCCUGCCUCCCUCCUGACGAGGAACCCCCUGGUGCUUUCUGUUCUCUGAUGAAGAGGAGGGAUCUCCUUGCCUUUUCUUCUCCUCAGAACCAUCAUAAGCUGGGCUUCCAGGGGUUUUUCUCAGAGAUUAUGCAAAUGUGGCCCUUGCCUCCGGGCUGCACGGCUGGUACUCUUUAGGAGAUUACGGAGGCCGUACGUCUAAGCUUCAGCAUAUUUACCUUUUAUUUACUCCGCACCUUUUCAGGCUGUGGCCAGUCCUGACAGCUCUGAUCUUUCCGGCGAAGUGUACAUGUUGGAAAUACGUAUUACAGGUUCUCAAGAGACCAUUUCCCUCCUGCUCAAUCCUAAGGCUGUUUGUGUACCCAGCAAGGAUUUAUUGUGUCUUCAGGAUAGUCUCUUUGUGUAUUUUGGUCUCAGGUUUUAAAAUAUUGGGAUCAGUUAACGAUUAUGCACUGUCGCUGGUGGGGUUAGUGCGGCAGGUGGGAUGGGAGACCUCAGGCUGCAGACACUGAAGUCACGUCCAGCAUCUGCCCUACUGCAGGCAAAGGGUGUGGCCCACCCAGUCGCUGGGGGCCUCUAAUGCAGCCGCCAUCUUACACAUGGCUUCCCGGUCACCAAGAAAGGGGAAGAAGAAGAGGAUGGCACAGGAGGUCAGGCCUGGAAGGAGCUGGGCCACUUCUGCAUGAAAUCUUUCAGCAAGGAAUGGCGCCCCUGCCCCAGCUCCCAUCGGAAGACGGGCUGGGAGCAUCUGAGGAAUGAGUCCUAGGAUUUGGAGGACACAGGACACACACUGUCUUUGCAACAGGGAGAUCAUAUCUUCUCCAUGUCCAGGGUGAGCAAGUUGAGGCCAAGAGACAUCCAGACACUUGCCAAGGUCCCACCACCGCCCAUGGGUGGCAGAGCUUUAAGUGAGCCCAGGGUGCUGAGUUCCAAGGCUGUUUCCCUAAAUGCUGCCAGGGGACAGGGUUUUGCUGACAGGUGGGUGCAGAGGUGCCCCUGUGCAGCGUCCGCCUUGGGAGCAGAGGCCCUGGGAGCAGUCCCUGGGAGGCCUAUGCCCGCUGCCGCCCAUCCCGAUGGGGUGGCUGGGGUCUGAGGAGGUGGCCCUGAGGAAGGGUGAGGGGACCGGGGGUGAUUAGGGCACAAGGAGCAAAGAACGGAAGUCUCAUCGAUGCCCUGGUCUCCCGUUAGGUGUGAGGGGGAGGAGUGCAGCCGUCAAACCCUUGGCUCUCACCUGGGACCCCAGAAUUGUGGUGUCCAAGCCCUGUGUCUGCAGAAGGCGACCCCAGCACAGCUGGCACGGAGGUGGCAGGGCUGGCACAGGGUGAGGACUCCAGGGCAGGCCCCCGUGGGGCUCUCUCAGCACGAGGGCUUCAGCGUCUUGGUCUCCAGGCUGCACGUCUGAGGUCCAGCUGGGGCCUUGCCCAUCAAAGAUGUCGGCAGGAUGUAUUUUGGUUAUUUGAGUCAAAGCUGGAUCCCACCACAUUCUGAAACGCCAGUAAGGGGUCGCACCCCAAGCAGUGAGGCCCUCAGGAGAUGACUGUAGAAGGAUCUGGAAGGGUCUGGGAGAAGGACACCCCAGGGACCCUUUCCCAACUCGAGGCCACCCUCUGAGCAUCUUGGUCCCUGGCCAGAAUGAAAUUUCAUAUUGAGCUGUUGCCCAGAGAAGGACAUUUUUGCAUUUCCCCAAACCUUUUUUUUCCUUUUCCAACCUGUCCUUUUUUGCUGCGCAGAGAAGUCAGUGUCCAGAAAUACGAGAAAAUGGGGAGGCAGCAGCCAUGUGGCUGGAUGACAGCUGUUGUCACCAUGUUUGGUGGAAGGGAUGAGGCUGGCAUGUUGUGGAGAGCAUGGGCCAUGGUUUGUGGGGUCAGAGUGGGUCAGCACCCCAAAGUUAGCAAGCAUCCCUCAGCACCUGCAUUUCCUGGAGCUGGGCUGAUGACGUAGAGAAGGAGCUCUCCUUUCAGAAGAGCUCGCAGGGUCUCCUUUCAUUGCUACCCUCACAGCAGGGGCAAGAAUGCAGGUGAGGCAGGGCCAGGCAGGUGAGGGGGGACAGGCAGGUGAGGGGGACAGGCAGGUGAGGUGGGUCAAGCAGAGGCCUCUCACCCUGGAAUCCCAGCCCAGCAACCCUUACCUGGGAACGUUCUGCUCUGCGCACAGGCAGACAGGUGAAAUGAAUAAGUCAGUUGAGGUGGGUCAGGCAGGUGAAAUGAGUCAGUCAGGUGAGGUGGGUUAGGCAGGUGACAUAUGUAAGUCAGGUGAGGUGGGUCCGGCAGCUGAAAUGAGUAAGUCAGGUGCGGUGGGUCAGGCAGGUGAAAUAUGUAAGUCAGGUGCGGUGGGUCAGGCAGGUGAAAUGAUUAAGUCAUGUGAGGUGGGUCAGGCAGCUGAAAUGAGUAAUCAGGUGAGGUGGGUUAGGCAGGUGAAAUGAGUAAUCAGGUGAGGUGGGUCAGGCAGGUGAAAUGAGUAAUCAGGUGAGGUGGGUUAGGCAGGUGAAAUGAGUAAGUCAGGUGAGGUGGGUCAGGCAGGUGAAAUGAAUAAGUCAGGUGAGGUGGGUCAGGCAGGUGAAAUGAAUAAGUCAGGUGAGGUGGGUCAGGCAGGUUAGGGCUGAUAGGCCAGUGAGGGGCAGGCGGGUGAAGUAGGGCAGGCGGGUGAGGUGGGUCAAGCAGGAGAGGGCACAGGCAGGUGAGGUGGGGCCGGGCCUUCCUCCGGGGGUCCGCAGAGGGCUGCCAUGGGGGUAACCCUGCAUGGCCAGCUCUAGGACAGAGGAGUGUGGAGGCAGAGAGGAGGGGCUGUGUCAGCUGAGCAGCAGGUCCAGGACAGCCUGGGUGGGUGGGCAGGGCAGGCUGGAGGGCAGGACCUGAGGAAGGCUGCAGUGGAGCCCACAGGGCCCUGGAAAGUGCCUGUGCCCAGAGCCAAGCAGCUCCUCCUCCAGCUUCACUUCCGGGAAUGUCUCUUCCUCCAGCUUCACUUCCGGAAUGUCUCCUCCAGGUGAUUGAUGGGGCCGCCCUGCGGGGGUGUGGGGAGGUUGAAGGAGAGGCUGUGCCCCCUCCACUGUCCUUUACCCUGGGAACAGGGGCAGGGGGAGGCCCGGCUCUAGCGGGCACUGAGAGCGGACCGGCACUGAGAAAGCGGGCUCUGCUGCACGUCCGGGACACGGGGUUGGGAGCCGCAGAAGCGGCUGCGCUCAGAGACUGGAGGUUUGGCCUUGGAGGGAUGGAGGUCAGUGCCCAUCGUUUGUCUGGAGGGUCCUGGAGGCUGAGCAGUAGCCUCGGCACAGACGUCUUAGCUCCUCUGUCCUCUCCUUCCUAGUUCUGCUGGUCACUCGUGGGUCCCCGGCCAGCUCUGUCACCCCAGCCAGCGAACAGGGAACAUUCGGGAAUAUCACCUCUCCCCAACCUUGAGCAGCCCCUCUUCAAGGCUGGGCCCUGGGGCCUCUCACCCUGGGAUCCCAGCCCAGCAGCCCUUACCUGGGAACGUUCUGCUCUGGGCACAGGUGCCUUUGCAGGGGAGGUGGAACCUUUAUACAGGUUUUUAAGCAAAUGAUCACCCACCACUGUAGUAUGUGCGUGUGACUCUUAAAAGUGUGUCUUUUCAUCCACACACACAGUCCCACUCCCACACACUGUGACCUGCCCAUAAGUGUGCAUGUGAGAUGCACAUUUAUAAAUAAUACCUGCACAGUAGUGCGACAAGAGAGGAUGGGAUGGUUUAGGAGAAAUGUCUGACUUCAGUAUCACAUGGGUGUGUAUAUGUCACAGAUGAGCAUUGGACACAGCCUGGGUGGGUGGGCAGGGCAGGCUGGAGGGCAGGACCUGAGGAAGGCUGCAGUGGAGCCCACAGGGCCCUGGAAAGUGCCUGUGCCCAGAGCCAAGCAGCUCCUCCUCCAGCUUCACUUCUGGGAAUGUCUCUUCCUCCAGCUUCACUUCCGGAAUGUCUCCUCCAGGAGGGGAAGUGGGGACACCUUUGUUUGUGAUGCCACGUCAGCCCAAGCCUGGAGCCCCCACACUGGGUCACGAAAAUCCCACUGGCUCAAGCAGACCACAUGGCCAAGCCCAGCAUCAGUGCAGGUGAAGGCGUGCGUGAGAGUUUUCCCAACAGUUGCCUAACAGCCAAAGUCUUUUAUCUCCUGACCCCAUUCAAUCCAGUUCCCUGUACUACCUGGCAUACAGCAGGUGCUUAUUAAAUGCUUGGCCCGCUGCUGGACUAAAGUCAUUUGGUUUCACUGAACUCAUCGUCUUUCUGGGAAUGAUAUUACAAGAAGCUUUCACACCCACGCUGGAAGAACCUUUUGGCCAAAGAGAAGUUCUUUAAUAGUGAUCAAAUUGAUCGAAAGAAGAGUUUUCCCACAUGAAAUGUGAAUUCAUUGGCAUGAAAUGACAGUCAGUUUCAUCAUAAAUUGUCUCCUGAGUAGAAAUAGGAAGAGUAAACAUGUACCACAUCUUUCUCAAAUGGAAUGAGCCUAGCUUCCAGCCAAAGGCAGGAUUCAUGAUCCCAUUUCUCUGCUUUGAUUCUCUUUAGAAAUACAGUCACCAAAAAUUAAUUGCCAAGUAGUCUGCAGUGUGUGGACACCAAGGGCUUUCAGCCCAGGCCUGAUAUUGAUACCUGCUCAUCAGCACAUUUGAAUUACGUGGACUGUCAAUAAAUGCCUGGAACAUUGUGAGCUUCGGGGACAUGAAGUCCAUUUACCACCAGGCAGCUGGCAGCCAGCACCAGAUCCGUGCUCUUCUGAACUUUGGUGUAGCAAAUGAUUCUGCAUGCCUUCCAGAAAGUGGCCCUAAUUUGAAUUUAAAUCAUAUUCAUGGUAUUGGCUUGGUGGCGUUUGGAGGAGGGGACACCAUGGCAGUAACAAGCAGGAUGCAGGGACUCAGCAGAAGCAGGCGCAGGUACCUCCCAGGGGCCCACCCGCUCCUGUCAAACCGCGGUGGUCCUGCCUGUCCUGCUUUUGGAGAUGACUGCCCCAGAUGGUGGGGCAGGGCCAGGGCCAGGCUUUGGGCUCUGGGACCAGGCAGAGCCGGGUUGGGCUUCAUCUUCCACACCAACUGCUGUGUGGCCUGGAGUGGUGGUCAGAGCUGUGGCACCUGUGCACAUUGAGUACAAGCAUGGGCCCCUGCCCAGGUCUGAGGACUACGUUCGGAGAUGGAUGAAAAGGCCAAGCCCCCUGCUAGCAGUGCCAGAUGCCCUCGGGAACUGGACCUGUGGUCCUGGGCAUUCAUUGCCAGCUUGCUCUGCACCAGGCGAGGUCUGAAUGAUUUCCUUGCAGUGCCGCAGUCAUCCCUGAGGCCACCCGGCCAGGUACCGUCACAUCCCUCUCUUUCUCAAAGAGAAACCGAGUCACAGGGUAUUUCAGUAACUGAGAACAUUAAGUGACCUGGAUGUGGCAAAGCUGGCUUGUACCAGAAGCUGGGAACUUUGGGGCAUGCUGGGCGUGGGUGUAGCAGCCUCUCUGUGUCCACCCGAGGUGGCCCUGCCCUGUUUCCACACACAGCCUGCCUAGAGCUAGAGAAGGCUCCAGGCGUUGAGUGCUCAGCUCCAGAGCUGGGCAGAUGGCACACCUGACCAGGAUAAGGUGUAGGUCUGGGAGAACGGGGUCAGUGCAGUGCAGGCCACAGGUGAGGGCAGAUGCAGAUAGGAGCGCCAUGAGAGGGCAAUGAGAGGGUAAGGGCUUCCAGGCUGGCAUGUGGGCCUGUCGUGCACUUUUCCCACAGACUGGUCAGAGGUGCUCAGCAGGACCCUGGAUGCUUCCCUGGGAGUAACUAAGAGGUCAUGUCUGGAUAGAACCAGAUGUGAGGGCUUUGACCCCCAUAGAGCCAGGUGCCCCUGGGAAAUGCCAGCAUUGUGUGAAGGAGAGUCUUGUACCAAAGCAGAUAUCCCCUGCCCCCCACCCUCAUCCCGCAGUUCCUAGCAGUUUCCAUUGCCUUCCAAACUUGAUGCCGCUGGAUCCUCCCAAGGUCCCUUUGCAGGUUGGAACCUGUGGCUCAGAGGUGAGGCAGUUUGCCUGGAACCACACAGUGGCUGGGUGUGGAGUCCGGACAAGGUGCAUCCUGAUCCAGGGCCCCCUACUCUGAUCCAUGGGUGUCUGGGCUCCAAAAAGCUUUCUCUGACCUUCUUGUUCUUGGGAAAGAGUGGUGCCUCCAGGAUUCAGGCCUGAGUUGUGCCUGGGACCAUGUGGGUCCCUUUCAUUCCUGUGUUACCUGGGGGUGAGGCAGAGGUUCCUGGUCCUGCUUUGGGCAUCAUAAGAUGGGCUGUUGUGGUGUCCCCUCCCCGCCAGGGCUGCUCUGAGGGCGCCCCUGGGGAGCAUCAUGCAAAGUCCUCCGUGCCCCUCUGGGGCACAGGGUGGGGUCUCUCCCUGUGGUGUCUCAGGGAGCAGGAGGCAGGCACAGUAUGAAUGUGGCCUCUGACAGCACAGCCAUGCUGAAGACCCCUGAGUCCGGCCUCCUGGGGCCGCUGGGCCUGGAGCACCCUGGAAGGCAGACAGCCCCCCAGGUCAGUGCUUCUGAACUCGGAGGAAAACACCAGCGAAGGGCUGGGCAGCUCAGCUCUGACCCAGACACCUGGCACGGCCUUGGCAGGUACUGGCCCCGUCUCAGCAGACCCAUAUCCUCUCCUCUCACCUCCUGGGCAAGGACACCACCAAUGAAAGGCUUGUAGGAACUGGAUGAGCUGCAUGAGCCCCCGGGAUGGGACCAGGUGAUGGCGGCUCGCUGGUCUUCCAGGCACACACGAAGGGGCUGAGCCCAUCAAGAAUUCCGCUCCAGAACUCCUUGAUAUUUGGCUUAAAGUUCAGCUCUAAAUAUAGACCCGUUGGGGUCUGUCGCAAAUGUUUUCUUGAGGGGUCUGUGAUGAUGUGCGUGGGGUCCUAAGAGGGGCAGGGUUCUGGCCCCCACCCUUCUCAUGGGGUCCUAAGGGGGGCAGGGUUCUGGCCCCCACCCUUCUCGUGGUCUGUGGCGCUGAUGGAAGCAGGUGCAGGAGGGGAGACGGGGGGGCCAAGGAGACUCUCUGGCAAGUGCUGCCUUCUCUCCCCUCCCUAAAGACCCUUCUCCAGGAGAGCUGCGCCUCUGCCCCGCCCGCUCCCCUGGCUGACCCAGGACCCACCUGCCGUCCUGAGCGUUCCCAUGGCAAGUGUGGGCGUGGCCGCUGCUGGUAACGGAGGAGUGAGAUCAAAUGAGUAGCCUCUGAGCCCCUGGUGGGAGUUGGGAGCCCUGUGGAAAACUGACUGAGAGCGUGGGCUCCUGCGGGAAGGCAGUGCUGGCCUCACGCCCCGCGGUGGCCGUCCUGCUCUGACUGUCCUCCCGGCAGGAAGCGUCCUCCAGUGUUCCCUCUGCUGUGUCCUGUCACCGCGGCUGUGUGGCUGCAGCCUGUGCACUGUGAGCCUUCCUUGGGUGGGUUCCUGGGGACCACCAGAGAGCCCCUCCCAAGGAGUCGCCAGUCACAGCGGACCCCACCUAGCUCUUCUGCCAUGGAGAAGGAUCCACACCUGCCUGCCUUGGGCGAGCUGCCUUUGCUUGCUGGUGUCCUGGUGCCUGGCUGCUGCUACCCAGGAGCCGGGCUCUGGGCAGGGAGGAGGGCUUCCUGGAGGCCAGCGGCAGAAGUCUGUUGAUCUGAAGCCCUCAGGAAACCUUCUUAGGGGGUCUUGUUUAGGAAACAAAUCCCUCUGCUGAUGUAGCUGCUGGCUGACUGUCAGCGCUGCCCACUGUGGAAAGCCCUUAUGAGCGUGUACAUCCUCUCUCGGGGUCCUGCAGGCCACGCGGUGGGAGCCUGCUCUCCCUGGGUCAGGACACGGAGACUUCACAGCCCAGCAGACCCCACGCCCAUGCCCAGCUCUGCCUAAAUGGAUCGAUUAUCUGGAAACCCCGUCGAGGGGCUCAGAAUUGCGGGCAGGGUGGGAGACUGGAGGGGUCCCUGUAGAUUAGCUUGGCUUACUUGAUUCAUUGAUUUUGUCAAGGGUCCGUUUAUCACACUGACAACUGGAAAAACCUUAAAUAAAUAUUUAUCAUCCUCCGAGGGGCCCGGCCAGGCUCCCAGGGAAGAGGAGGGGCAGCUGGGAUUGCACCUACAUGGGGCUUCCGGGGCUCACCCCGAGGGACGAGGCCCAGAGCCAGCCCUGGGCGCUGAGCCCCUGGUUUCCCACUGUUGUGAUGCCCCUGCCUGCAUUCCCUGCAGAAUACCCUGGAGACUCGGGCCUGGGGCUGAUCUGAGCGGGGGCUGGUUCUCAUCCACCAGGUCACAGGCAGCGGAGUACCCCGGAGACUCGGGCCUGGGGCUGAUCUGAGCGGGGGCUGGUUCCCAUCCACCAGGUCACAGGCAGCGGAGUACCCCGGAGACUCGGGCCUGGGGCUGAUCUGAGCGGGGGCUGGUUCCCAUCCACCAGGUCACAGGCAGCGGAGUACCCCGGAGACUCAGGCCUGGGGCUGAUCUGAGCGGGGGCUGGUUCCCAUCCACCAGGUCACAGGCAGCGGAGUACCCCGGAGACUCGGGCCUGGGGCUGAUCUGAGUGGGGGCUGGUUCCCACCCACCAGGUCACAGGCAGCAGACUACCCCGCAGACUCAGGUCUGGGGCUGAUCUGAGAGGGGUCUCGUUCCCAUCCACAGGCAGAGGUUGGUCUGCCUACUGCUCAUUCAUUCGUUCAUUCGUGUGUCUUUCACCCCAAGAGCCCCCCCCUCGUCUCCCACCGCCAUGCCCCACACGGGCUCAGCUCCGGCCCUGCUGUUGCCUUCCUCUGGAAGCUUCCUCUCUAGACAUCCUCCUGACUUGUGUGAUCCCGGCUUCCCUCAGAUGCCCAAAUGCCACCUCCUCAGGGGAGCCCUCCUGGACCACCUUGACUCCACAGGCCCCCCGCUCUGUGCCUCUCCUGCCUGGCUCACUCUGUCUCCAUGGAGGCCCCCAUACCCUGGCUUUGUGCUAUGGACAGUGGUUCCUGUGCCCUCCGUGUGCCCCUGCAGACACAGGUCGGUCUCAGCUCUGUUCCCAGCUGCAUUCCCAGUACCCUGACGAAGGACAGACUGCCCGGAGGCACCCGAGCCAGAGGGAAUAGGAUGGAGGGAGGGAAGCAGGAUGCAGGCUUCCCUGGUCGCACGCACUGGACACCCAGGAGGAGGCUGCGGUCAUGGGGAGAUCUGUGCCAGGGACAGGAUGGUGGGAGAGGGUGAGGAGGCAUCCCAGGGAUGAGUCCUGGGGCAGGGCUGGGAGGGGACAGAUCACCAGGCACCACUGUCCUUAACUCUGUCCCCCACCCGGGGCCCAGACGCGUUCUGGAAGGUUCCUACAGUGUCUCUGAGCGUACAUCCAUGCUUGCCGUGGUGCAGGCCCGUCUGCCACCCAGGGCUCUCUGUCCAGGCCGGUGGUGCCCUCCCUGUCUGCCUGACUUGGGGCGCAGCCCUGACAUGCCCAGGCCCUCCUCCGUUCAGCCUGUGGCCUCUUUUUGCUGGGAGGGCUUGUCAACGCCCCUGGAAUCCAACCGAGAACUUGACGAUGGAGGAUGUUUAAUGCUCAGUAAGUGAUCACCGUCCACCUGCCCAGCUCUUGGCCUCCAUCCUGGCCAAGCGUGGACAUGCAUUUGUCCAGGUCGCUGAAUGGGAGCAUCAAAGAGGGUACGGAAAUUCCCCCAAAGGGACAAAUGAGGUACAAACCACAGGCUCCCUUUUCAUCUUGCUCCUGGUCCCAGAACCCAGGUCCUCGGGCGGCCGCUCAGAAGAGCUCAGCUCCCACCCGGGCUCAGGGAAGAGAUCAGGCUGUGGAGAGCCUUUGAAGGGUUGGGAGGAAGAGGCCGGAGACUUUCUGAAAGGGCUCCCGGCAAAAGCGUCCCCAGGGAAAUGCUCCCGGGUGUCUGGACUGCCGGCUCUGAAGGUGCAGAAGUUUGACGGGCUAGUUUAGUCCAUCAUUUUUUUUUUCCAUUAAUAAAAAUUAGGAUAGGAAAGAACUGAUCAUAAUCCAACAUUGACAAUGAAGCUUUCCCAUUUACUCCUCUUUCUGUAAGGGUUUUUUAGCAAUCAAAAUGAUUUAUGAUUAAUACAGUGCAUAUUAAAACUUUUAACCUGGUACCUUCAUAAAGUAAAAAAUGUUCCCAACAUAUUACAUUUUUAAUCACAUGAGUUAAUUACUCUUUAGGGAGGCUUUGGAGAUUCUGGAAAGGAGGGUAUUACAGAUUUCAAAGAAUGAGACUGAAACUGUCAUUUUAAUGAGAAUGCAAAUGAGAUUGCUGAGGUUCAGUGAAGGUCACAGCGGCUUCAUCAUCAAGUUAUUACAGCCAUUUAUUGCCAGUAACAAAUGAAUAUUAAAAGCUAUUGUUUUAACAGA